RNAcentral lists this ribosomal RNA (467 nucleotides) under uncultured bacterium. RNAcentral's name for it is "partial 16S ribosomal RNA". It matches the Rfam family "Bacterial small subunit ribosomal RNA", at positions 28 to 506 of the family's 1533-position model. The record is from RNAcentral.
GACGAACGCUGGCGGCGUACUUAACACAUGCAAGUCGAACGGAAAGGCCCUGCUUUUGUGGGGUGCUCGAGUGGCGAACGGGUGAGUAACACGUGAGUAACCUGCCCUUGACUUUGGGAUAACUUCAGGAAACUGGGGCUAAUACCGGAUAGGAGCUCCUGCUGCAUGGUGGGGGUUGGAAAGUUUCGGCGGUUGGGGAUGGACUCGCGGCUUAUCAGCUUGUUGGUGGGGUAGUGGCUUACCAAGGCUUUGACGGGUAGCCGGCCUGAGAGGGUGGCCGGCCACAUUGGGACUGAGAUACGGCCCAGACUCCUACGGGAGGCAGCAGUGGGGAAUAUUGCACAAUGGGCGGAAGCCUGAUGCAGCAACGCCGCGUGCGGGAUGACGGCCUUCGGGUUGUAAACCGCUUUCGCCUGUGACGAAGCGUGAGUGACGGUAAUGGGGAAAGAAGCACCGGCUAACUACGU